GUUUGAUCCUGGCUCAGGAUGAACGCUGGCGGCGUGCUUAACACAUGCAAGUCGAACGAACCUUCGGGUUAGUGGCGGACGGGUGAGUAACGCGUGAGAAUCUGCCCUCAGGAGGGGGAUAACGGCUGGAAACGACCGCUAAUACCCCAUAUGCCGAGAGGUGAAAUGAAUUUCGCCUGAGGAUGAGCUCGCGUCUGAUUAGCUAGUUGGUGGGGUAAGGGCCCACCAAGGCUUCGAUCAGUAGCUGGUCUGAGAGGAUGAUCAGCCACACUGGGACUGAGACACGGCCCAGACUCCUACGGGAGGCAGCAGUGGGGAAUUUUCCGCAAUGGGCGCAAGCCUGACGGAGCAACGCCGCGUGAGGGAUGAAGGCCUCUGGGCUGUAAACCUCUUUUAUCAAGGAAGAAGAUCUGACGGUACUUGAUGAAUAAGCCACGGCUAAUUCCGUGCCAGCAGCCGCGGUAAUACGGGAGUGGCAAGCGUUAUCCGGAAUUAUUGGGCGUAAAGCGUCCGCAGGCGGUCUUGUAAGUCUGUCGUUAAAGCGUGGAGCUUAACUCCAUUUCGGCGAUGGAAACUACAAGACUAGAGUGUGGUAGGGGCAGAGGGAAUUCCCGGUGUAGCGGUGAAAUGCGUAGAUAUCGGGAAGAACACCAGUGGCGAAGGCGCUCUGCUGGGCCAUAACUGACGCUCAUGGACGAAAGCCAGGGGAGCGAAAGGGAUUAGAUACCCCUGUAGUCCUGGCCGUAAACGAUGAACACUAGGUGUCGGGGGAAUCGACCCCCUCGGUGUCGUAGCCAACGCGUUAAGUGUUCCGCCUGGGGAGUACGCACGCAAGUGUGAAACUCAAAGGAAUUGACGGGGGCCCGCACAAGCGGUGGAGUAUGUGGUUUAAUUCGAUGCAACGCGAAGAACCUUACCAGGGUUUGACAUCCUGCGAAUCCCUUGGAAACGAGGGAGUGCCUUCGGGAGCGCAGAGACAGGUGGUGCAUGGCUGUCGUCAGCUCGUGUCGUGAGAUGUUGGGUUAAGUCCCGCAACGAGCGCAACCCACGUCUUUAGUUGCCAGCAUUUAGUUGGGCACUCUAGAGAGACCGCCGGUGAUAAACCGGAGGAAGGUGUGGAUGACGUCAAGUCAUCAUGCCCCUUACAUCCUGGGCUACACACGUACUACAAUGCUACGGACAAAGGGCAGCAAACUCGCGAGAGCUAGCAAAUCCCAUAAACCGUGGCUCAGUUCAGAUCGUAGGCUGCAACUCGCCUACGUGAAGGCGGAAUCGCUAGUAAUCGCAGGUCAGCAUACUGCGGUGAAUACGUUCCCGGGCCUUGUACACACCGCCCGUCACACCAUGGAAGUUGGCCACGCCCGAAGUCGUUACUCCAACCCUUGUGGAGGAGGACGCCGAAGGUGGGGCUGAUGACUGGGGUGAAGUCGUAACAAGGUAGCCGUACCGGAAGGUGCGGCUGGAUCACCUCCUAACA
RNAcentral lists this ribosomal RNA (1477 nucleotides) under Synechococcus sp. CAWBG718. Its description in RNAcentral is "bacterial SSU rRNA". It matches the Rfam family "Bacterial small subunit ribosomal RNA". Lineage: Bacteria; Bacillati; Cyanobacteriota; Cyanophyceae; Synechococcales; Synechococcaceae. The record is from RNAcentral.